This 24-nucleotide non-coding RNA is filed under the name Cricetulus griseus (Chinese hamster). Lineage: Eukaryota; Metazoa; Chordata; Mammalia; Rodentia; Cricetidae. The record is from RNAcentral.
GUCACGUGAUCGUGGGUGUCCGGC